RNAcentral lists this ribosomal RNA (450 nucleotides) under uncultured bacterium. Its description in RNAcentral is "partial 16S ribosomal RNA". It matches the Rfam family "Bacterial small subunit ribosomal RNA", at positions 354 to 796 of the family's 1533-position model. The record is from RNAcentral.
GUGGGGAAUUUUGGACAAUGGGCGCAAGCCUGAUCCAGCAAUGCCGCGUGCAGGAAGAAGGCCUUCGGGUUGUAAACUGCUUUUGUACGGAACGAAACGGUCCGGGUUAAUACCCUGGGCUAAUGACGGUACCGUAAGAAUAAGCACCGGCUAACUACGUGCCAGCAGCCGCGGUAAUACGUAGGGUGCAAGCGUUAAUCGGAAUUACUGGGCGUAAAGCGUGCGCAGGCGGUUUUGUAAGACAGGCGUGAAAUCCCCGGGCUCAACCUGGGAAUUGCGCUUGUGACUGCAAGGAUGGGGUGCGGCAGAGGGGGAUGGAAUUCCGCGUGUAGCAGUGAAAUGCGUAGAUAUGCGGAGGAACACCGAUGGCGAAGGCAAUCCCCUGGGCCUGCACUGACGCUCAUGCACGAAAGCGUGGGGAGCAAACAGGAUUAGAAACCCUAGUAGUCC